UACAGAGGUCUCAAGCGUUGUUCGGAUUCAUUGGGCGUAAAGGGUGCGUAGGUGGCGCUGUAAGUCGGGUGUGAAAUUCGGAGCUUAACUCCGAACUGCAUUCGAGUACUGCCGUGCUUGAGGACUGGAGAGGAGACUGGAAUUCGAUGGUGUAGCAGUGAAAUGCGUAGAGAUCAUGAGGAGACCAGUGGCGAAGGCGGUCUCUGGACAUCCUGACACUGAGACAGAAGGCCAGGGAGCAAACGGG
RNAcentral lists this ribosomal RNA (247 nucleotides) under uncultured bacterium. RNAcentral describes it as "partial 16S ribosomal RNA". It matches the Rfam family "Bacterial small subunit ribosomal RNA", at positions 524 to 776 of the family's 1533-position model. The record is from RNAcentral.